UUGUAUGAUGAAAUCUCCAAAAACGUGAAUUUUGAAUUACUUCUCUAUAUCUAUUAUUAAACAUGCGAUAUAUUUGUAUACAUAUGUA
Molecule: long non-coding RNA, 88 nt
Organism: Rhagoletis zephyria (snowberry fruit fly)
Lineage: Eukaryota; Metazoa; Arthropoda; Insecta; Diptera; Tephritidae
Source: RefSeq, a predicted model, not a curated record